AAGUCUGAUGUGAAAGCCUUCGGCUUAACCGAAGAUGUGCAUUGGAAACUGGGGAACUUGAGUGCAGAAGAGGAGAGUGGAACUCCAUGUGUAGCGGUGAAAUGCGUAGAUAUAUGGAAGAACACCAGUGGCGAAAGCGGCUCUCUGGUCUGUAACUGACGCUGAGGUUCGAAAGCGUGGGUAGCGAACAGGAUUAGAUACCCUGGUAGUCCACGCCGUAAACGAUGAAUGCUAGGUGUUGGAGGGUUUCCGCCCUUCAGUGCCGCAGCUAACGCACUAAGCAUUCCGCCUGGGGAGUACGACCGCAAGGUUGAAACUCAAAGGAAUUGACGGGGGCCCGCACAAGCGGUGGAGCAUGUGGUUUAAUUCGAAGCUACGCGAAGAACCUUACCAGGUCUUGACAUCUUUUGACCACCUAAGAGAUUAGGUUUUCCCUUCGGGGACAAAAUGACAGGUGGUGCAUGGUUGUCGUCA
Molecule: ribosomal RNA, 474 nt
Filed under: Ligilactobacillus saerimneri
Lineage: Bacteria; Bacillati; Bacillota; Bacilli; Lactobacillales; Lactobacillaceae
Description: bacterial SSU rRNA
Rfam family: Bacterial small subunit ribosomal RNA
Source: RNAcentral